Molecule: long non-coding RNA, 606 nt
Organism: Actinia tenebrosa (Australian red waratah sea anemone)
Lineage: Eukaryota; Metazoa; Cnidaria; Anthozoa; Actiniaria; Actiniidae
Source: RefSeq, a predicted model, not a curated record
UUUAUCCGGCAUAAUGUGGACGGGGCCUUAAUUGAUUGAAUACAAUUAAAGCUAAGCACAUAAAAAGYGCAAGGCAUGGAUCUCAAUCACAGUUGAGCACUUGCCACCAAGCAGAGAUAACAGAAGAGAAUCAAGAAAGCAGAGAAAAAGAAAGAAAACCAAGUUCCCACAAUGGCUCAAGGGAGCUUCCUUUGUCUUGCCAUGUUUGUUGUACUGGCUUCAGUGAUGGUAGCAAAUGCAUAUCUGAAUGAUCCUAUUUUUAAUUCUCGUCAUCAAAGGGAUUCUAGUAAAGGAGAUCUUCAUGAAGAGAAAAGAUCGCCCUGCGAAUGUGCUAAAAAUGAUCGGCAGGGAACAUUCUGGUUCAUGAAGGUCAGCUGUCCUGAUGGAUAUGGCUAUACAGGAGGUUGUAUAUUCCCAGGGGUAUUCGCUAAGCUUGGAUAUUGUUGUUACAGAUAAAUAAAAACAGCAGUAAACCCAAUGUUAUUUAUCCAGGACCAUGUUAUGGAUGUUAAAGUAAUAUAAAGCAAGAGUAUGUAAUACGAAUAAAAAAGAAAUCGUUGUCAUACGAAUAAUAAAAGAAUACUGAAUAAAACUAUCGAGGAAUUA